GAUGAACGCUGGCGGCGUGCCUAAUACAUACAAGUCGAGCGAACGGACGAGAAGCUUGCUUCUCUGAUGUUAGCGGCGGACGGGUGAGUAACACGUGGAUAACCUACCUAUAAGACUGGGAUAACUUCGGGAAACCGGAGCUAAUACCGGAUAAUAUUUUGAACCGCAUGGUUCAAAAGUGAAAGACGGUCUUGCUGUCACUUAUAGAUGGAUCCGCGCUGCAUUAGCUAGUUGGUAAGGUAACGGCUUACCAAGGCAACGAUGCAUAGCCGACCUGAGAGGGUGAUCGGCCACACUGGAACUGAGACACGGUCCAGACUCCUACGGGAGGCAGCAGUGGGGAAUCUUCCGCAAUGGGCGAAAGCCUGACGGAGCAACGCCGCGUGAGUGAUGAAGGUCUUCGGAUCGUAAAACUCUGUUAUUAGGGAAGAACAUAUGUGUAAGUAACUGUGCACAUCUUGACGGUACCUAAUCAGAAAGCCACGGCUAACUACGUG
RNAcentral lists this ribosomal RNA (497 nucleotides) under uncultured bacterium. RNAcentral describes it as "partial 16S ribosomal RNA". It matches the Rfam family "Bacterial small subunit ribosomal RNA", at positions 28 to 507 of the family's 1533-position model. The record is from RNAcentral.